UUUAAAACUUAUAAAUAUGUAUUUCAUUUGUUGGAGCAAUAUUCAAAAAAAUGGAUCUAAUAUCAAGAGUUGACAUCCAAUAAAUAUAAAAAAUCUUUAUGUUUCAUUUUUAAUAUUUUUUUUAUCAACACUCUCAACUUUCAUUUUAACAUCAAUAAGCCUCUUAUAUUUCUUUCAGACAAAUCAUUUGUUAAAUUUAUUGUUUAAGAAGUUUUAUUUCAUCUCAAUGACAUCAAAAUAAUAAUCCAUAAACAUGCUUUUAGUAUCUUCCAAUCACAUUUCAAUAACAAGAAUGGCAAAAACUUUGAUUAUAAGGUCACAAUCAAGACAUUUUUCUACUUUUCAUUGUACAUCAAAUAUCUCUUGUA
Molecule: long non-coding RNA, 368 nt
Filed under: Physcomitrium patens
Lineage: Eukaryota; Viridiplantae; Streptophyta; Bryopsida; Funariales; Funariaceae
Description: long non-coding RNA (PPAT_LNC002287)
Source: RNAcentral